This 465-nucleotide ribosomal RNA is filed under the name uncultured bacterium. Its description in RNAcentral is "bacterial SSU rRNA". It matches the Rfam family "Bacterial small subunit ribosomal RNA", at positions 198 to 644 of the family's 1533-position model. The record is from RNAcentral.
GGAGGAAAGUAGGGGAUCGCAAGACCUUGCGCUUUUGGAGCGGCCGAUGUCUGAUUAGCUUGUUGGUAAGGUAAAAGCUUACCAAGGCUUCGAUCAGUAGCUGGUCUGAGAGGACGACCAGCCACACUGGGACUGAGACACGGCCCAGACUCCUACGGGAGGCAGCAGUGGGGAAUUUUGGACAAUGGGGGCAACCCUGAUCCAGCCAUGCCGCGUGAGUGAAGAAGGCCUUCGGGUUGUAAAGCUCUUUCAGCCGGAACGAAACGGUUACGGUUAAUACCCGUGACUACUGACGGUACCGGAAGAAGAAGCACCGGCUAACUACGUGCCAGCAGCCGCGGUAAUACGUAGGGUGCGAGCGUUAAUCGGAAUUACUGGGCGUAAAGCGUGCGCAGGUGGUUUUGUAAGUCAGAUGUGAAAUCCCCGGGCUCAACCUGGGAACUGCGUUUGAAACUACAAGGCUAG